UAGGGAAUAUUGCACAAUGGGGGAAACCCUGAUGCAGCGACGCCGCGUGAAGGAAGAAGUAUCUCGGUAUGUAAACUUCUAUCAGCAGGGAAGAAGAAAGUGACGGUACCUGACUAAGAAGCCCCGGCUAACUACGUGCCAGCAGCCGCGGUAAUACGUAGGGGGCAAGCGUUAUCCGGAUUUACUGGGUGUAAAGGGAGCGCAGGCGGCGUGCCAAGUCUGAUGUGAAAGCCCGGGGCCCAACCCCGGAACUGCAUUGGAAACUGGCAUGCUGGAGUACUGGAGAGGCAGGCGGAAUUCCUAGUGUAGCGGUGAAAUGCGUAGAUAUUAGGAGGAACACCAGUGGCGAAGGCGGCCUGCUGGACAGAGACUGACGCUGAGGCUCGAAAGCGUGGGGAGCAAACAGG
RNAcentral lists this ribosomal RNA (407 nucleotides) under uncultured bacterium. RNAcentral's name for it is "bacterial SSU rRNA". It matches the Rfam family "Bacterial small subunit ribosomal RNA", at positions 355 to 776 of the family's 1533-position model. The record is from RNAcentral.